This 504-nucleotide ribosomal RNA is filed under the name uncultured bacterium. RNAcentral's name for it is "bacterial SSU rRNA". It matches the Rfam family "Bacterial small subunit ribosomal RNA", at positions 30 to 523 of the family's 1533-position model. The record is from RNAcentral.
AUUGAACGCUGGCGGCAUGCUUUACACAUGCAAGUCGAACGGGCUUGGGGGCUUGCUCCCAAGUUAGUGGCGAACGGGUGAGUAAUACAUCGGAACGUACCGUGUAGUGGGGGAUAACGUAGCGAAAGUUACGCUAAUACCGCAUACGAUCUACGGAUGAAAGCAGGGGACCUUCGGGCCUUGUGCUAUACGAGCGGCCGAUGUCUGAUUAGCUGGUUGGUGAGGUAAAGGCUCACCAAGGCGACGAUCAGUAGCGGGUCUGAGAGGAUGAUCCGCCACACUGGGACUGAGACACGGCCCAGACUCCUACGGGAGGCAGCAGUGGGGGAAUUUUGGACAAUGGGCGAAAGCCUGAUCCAGCCAUGCCGCGUGUCUGAAGAAGGCCUUCGGGUUGUUAAAGGACUUUUAGUCAGGGAGCGAAAACUUAACUGGUUAAUACCCGGUGAGGCUGAGAGUACCUGAAGAAUAAGCACCGGCUAACUACGUAGCCAGCAGCCGCGGUAA